AUCGGCUGCCUGAGUUUUGCUCACCUGAAGCCGCCGGAUCCUGCUUGGUGCUUCUACAGGGACCUGCCGUGGACUUUCCUUCUUGGGACCGGAGAGGAGGAACAAGGUGUGAAGCCCUGCAAAGGUGCAGCUUGGCAGAAGUGGGCCAUGGCGGAGGGGGGAGGGGGCCGCCGAGGGCCCCCACCCCUCGGGCUUCCAAGGGCACCGCUGAGCUUAUCAGGGGAGCGCGAGGCAGGCAUGACCGGCUCCUGAAAUGUUGAGCACUGAGCUGCGUGGCAGUCCCCGGUCUCCCCGUGAGAAGCAGCUUCCUAGCCCGCCUUCCUCCCGGCUCUUCUCGGAGGUGCAAGAGGGAGGCAUGUGCAACAGGAAUUUCGUGGCCAAGGUGAUGGAGGACAUCCU
Pogona vitticeps (central bearded dragon) is the source of this 399-nucleotide non-coding RNA. The record is from RefSeq and is a predicted model, not a curated record. Lineage: Eukaryota; Metazoa; Chordata; Lepidosauria; Squamata; Agamidae.